This 73-nucleotide transfer RNA is filed under the name Myotis brandtii (Brandt's bat). It matches the Rfam family "tRNA". From Rfam's summary of the family: Transfer RNA (tRNA) molecules are approximately 80 nucleotides in length. Lineage: Eukaryota; Metazoa; Chordata; Mammalia; Chiroptera; Vespertilionidae. The record is from Rfam by way of RNAcentral.
GCUGGUGUUGCUCAGUGGAUAGAGCGUCAGCCUGCAGACUAAAGGGUGCUGGGUUCGAUUCCAGCCAAGGGCA